GGCUCAGAUUGAACGCUGGCGGCAUGCCUUACACAUGCAAGUCGAACGGCAGCACGGGGCGAACCUGGUGGCGAGUGGCGAACGGGUGAGGUAAUGCAUCGGAACGUGCCAUUGAGUGGGGGAUAACGUAGCGAAAGUUGCGCUAAUACCGCAUAUUCUGUGAGCAGGAAAGCAGGGGACCGCAAGGCCUUGCGCUCUUUGAGCGGCCGAUGUCAGAUUAGCUAGUUGGUGAGGUAACGGCUUACCAAGGCGACGAUCUGUAGCGGGUCUGAGAGGAUGAUCCGCCACACUGGAACUGAGACACGGUCCAGACUCCUACGGGAGGCAGCAGUGGGGAAUUUUGGACAAUGGGCGCAAGCCUGAUCCAGCCAUGCCGCGUGAGUGAAGAAGGCCUUCGGGUUGUAAAGCUCUUUCGGCCGGGAAGAAAUCGCAUGGGUUAAUACCCUGUGUGGAUGACGGUACCGGAAUAAGAAGCACCGGCUAACCACGUG
Molecule: ribosomal RNA, 491 nt
Filed under: uncultured bacterium
Lineage: Bacteria
Description: bacterial SSU rRNA
Rfam family: Bacterial small subunit ribosomal RNA
Source: RNAcentral